Molecule: ribosomal RNA, 493 nt
Filed under: uncultured bacterium
Lineage: Bacteria
Description: partial 16S ribosomal RNA
Rfam family: Bacterial small subunit ribosomal RNA
Source: RNAcentral
AUUGAACGCUGGCGGCAUGCCUUACACAUGCAAGUCGAACGGUAACAGGUUAAGCUGACGAGUGGCGAACGGGUGAGUAAUACAUCGGAACGUGCCCAGUAGUGGGGGAUAGCCCGGCGAAAGCCGGAUUAAUACCGCAUACGACCUAAGGGUGAAAGGGGGGGAUCGCAAGACCUCUCGCUAUUGGAGCGGCCGAUGUCAGAUUAGGUAGUUGGUGGGGUAAAGGCCCACCAAGCCGACGAUCUGUAGCUGGUCUGAGAGGACGACCAGCCACACUGGGACUGAGACACGGCCCAGACUCCUACGGGAGGCAGCAGUGGGGAAUUUUGGACAAUGGGCGCAAGCCUGAUCCAGCCAUGCCGCGUGCGGGAAGAAGGCCUUCGGGUUGUAAACCGCUUUUGUCAGGGAAGAAAUCCUUUGGGUUAAUACCUCGGGGGGAUGACGGUACCUGAAGAAUAAGCACCGGCUAACUACGUGCCAGCCGCCGCCGUAA